This 483-nucleotide ribosomal RNA is filed under the name uncultured bacterium. RNAcentral's name for it is "partial 16S ribosomal RNA". It matches the Rfam family "Bacterial small subunit ribosomal RNA", at positions 30 to 506 of the family's 1533-position model. The record is from RNAcentral.
AUUGAACGCUGGCGGCAGGCCUAACACAUGCAAGUCGAGCGGAUGAAGGGAGCUUGCUCCUGGAUUCAGCGGCGGACGGGUGAGUAAUGCCUAGGAAUCUGCCUGGUAGUGGGGGAUAACGUCCGGAAACGGGCGCUAAUACCGCAUACGUCCUGAGGGAGAAAGUGGGGGAUCUUCGGACCUCACGCUAUCAGAUGAGCCUAGGUCGGAUUAGCUAGUUGGUGGGGUAAAGGCCUACCAAGGCGACGAUCCGUAACUGGUCUGAGAGGAUGAUCAGUCACACGGGAACUGAGACACGUUCCAGACCCCUACGGGAGGCAGCAGUGGGGAAUAUUGGACAAUGGGCGAAAGCCUGAUCCAGCCAUGCCGCGUGGGUGAAGAAGGUCUUCGGAUUGUAAAGCACUUUAAGUUGGGAGGAAGUGCAGUAAGUUAAUACCUUGCUGUUUUGACGUUACCAACAGAAUAAGCACCGGCUAACUUCGU